CGGAGGAUAAAAUUUAAAACUGGUAACAGUGAUGAACCGGCCACUCUGGUAAACAAGAGAAAGCCGUUUUUAAAAAACACAACUUCCCUGUGGUACCACAGGAGAAAAUUUUAACAUAUGGUAUAACGUAGAAUUAUAGGGUCAUGACCCCCCUGUCAUCUUGCCAGAUCCCGCCUCUGCACUUAUACUGCGACAACUGUUUUAUUAAAGAUAAUACUACCAAACAAUGAAAAAUAUCAAAAUGCAUUAAAAAGAAGUCCUUCUUUUGAAAACGCACACACCUAUAUGUUUAUACAGUUGAAUUCUAGAAAUUAAAGUUUU
RNAcentral lists this long non-coding RNA (321 nucleotides) under Mytilus galloprovincialis (Mediterranean mussel). The record is from RNAcentral. Lineage: Eukaryota; Metazoa; Mollusca; Bivalvia; Mytilida; Mytilidae.